UCGGGAAUUUUGGACAAUGGGCGCAAGCCUGAUCCAGCCAUGCCGCGUGGAUGAUGAAGGCCUUAGGGUUGUAAAACUCUUUCGUCGGGGACGAUAAUGACGGUACCCGAAGAAGAAGCUCCGGCUAACUUCGUGCCAGCAGCCGCGGUAAUACGAAGGGAGCUAGCGUUGUUCGGAAUCACUGGGCGUAAAGCGCACGUAGGCGGAUAGUUAAGUCAGGGGUGAAAUCCUGGGGCUCAACCCCAGAACUGCCUUUGAUACUGGCUGUCUCGAGGUCGAGAGAGGUUGGUGGAAUUCCUAGUGUAGAGGUGAAAUUCGUAGAUAUUAGGAAGAACACCAGUGGCGAAGGCGGCCAACUGGCUCGAUACUGACGCUGAGGUGCGAAAGCGUGGGGAGCAAACAGGAUUAGAUACCCCAGUAGUCCCUGAGCGGGCUGGCAAGGCGCAU
This 447-nucleotide ribosomal RNA is filed under the name uncultured bacterium. RNAcentral's name for it is "bacterial SSU rRNA". It matches the Rfam family "Bacterial small subunit ribosomal RNA", at positions 355 to 825 of the family's 1533-position model. The record is from RNAcentral.